UACGGAGGAUGCGAGCGUUAUCCGGAUUUAUAGGGUUUAAAGGGUGCGCAGGCGGCACGGCAAGCCGGCGGUCAAAUCGCGGGGCUCAACCCCGCCCAGCCGUCGGAACUGCCGGGCUAGAGUGGGCGAGAAGUGCGCGGAAUGCGUGGUGUAGCGGUGAAAUGCAUAGAUAUCACGCAGAACUCCGAUUGCGAAGGCAGCGCACCGGCGCCCUACUGACGCUCAGGCACGAAAGCGUGGGUAUCGAACAGG
This 252-nucleotide ribosomal RNA is filed under the name uncultured bacterium. RNAcentral describes it as "partial 16S ribosomal RNA". It matches the Rfam family "Bacterial small subunit ribosomal RNA", at positions 524 to 776 of the family's 1533-position model. The record is from RNAcentral.